Molecule: long non-coding RNA, 1794 nt
Organism: Oreochromis niloticus (Nile tilapia)
Lineage: Eukaryota; Metazoa; Chordata; Actinopteri; Cichliformes; Cichlidae
Exons: 2
Source: RefSeq, a predicted model, not a curated record
AGGCUUAGCUGGGUCACUUGUUACCCUCUCACCUCUGGCUGACUAUGACUAUGAUAAUAUCUGACUUUUAAAAAAACAAACUAGCAAGCCUGUUAUGUUACUGCUUAAUUAAUUCCAUGUUUCAGAUGUUAGUAAAAUGUGCCACCCUGUGGCCCCUUUAAGUUGAUAUUUUAUGACAGUAGAAGAAGAGUUAAACAGGAAGUGGAUGUUUUCUUGCUAUGCUGUUUCAAGAUGGCCGCACCACAUUCAUGUCCUUCUUUUGGGUGUUUGUUAAAGCAUUGUCUUUUCACAAAAUGAAAGAACCAGUAAACUUCAUAAGAUCUCAUCUAUUGUCUGGAGUUCCUGGGUUCAUGUUUAGCUGUUUGGAUAGCUAGUCAGACUUCUAGCGAGGCCAUUUACAAAGCCGUAACAAGCGAAUACAAUAAAAUGUUGCUGUUGGCUAUAGACAGUGUUGCUGUAUAGCAUACUGUCUGAUUUAUUCUGUAUAUUGCAUAUAGGAAAGCUUUAUGUGAGAUGUAUGUAGCUCUUUAACUGACAAGAUAAACUAGCUACAAUAGUUUCCUAAUUCUUUUUAGAAAUUCACACUAUGUAAAUUUCUAAAGUUAUAGUUACCUACAGCUAGCUAGCUAACUGAAAACCUAGCUAGCUGUAGCUAGCUAGCUUACAGUUACAUGUUUGGCUAAAACACACACAUACACAAACAGAGGGAGAAAGAGCAUUAAUACUGCUUUUAAAAGCUAAUACUUAACACAAUUAUUAAUAAUUAAAUGUCCUAAAUCAUCUUGUUUAUUGGAGGUUAAUAAAAGGAAAACUGACCUAAUAUUAACGUACUCAUCUAUGCUUUUUACUGAUCAAUGUGCAAUAUCAAUAAAGUUGAGAUUCUAAGUAUGAUGUUAUACAACAUAAAGUCUUGGAUUGGGUCUCACUCAUUUUCUGUGUUUGACAAAAGCACUUUCCCUCAAUUCUUAGAUAUACUUUACUGACAUACUUUAUAGUGACUACUUCACAAAUAAGAGACAACUUUUUAUAUGAAACCAUAGAGGUGCCUUAGAGGGUGCUAAGAUGUUUUGGCACCUGAACCCAUCUGUCCUUUAAAAAGGAACAUAAAAAAACUUAGUUUCUUCACUUUGCAAACCUUUAAAUUUGAAUCAGCAAGCAAACAUUUAUGUCAAGUAUGAGGUCUUCCCAUUUCAGGUGCAAUAAUAGUCAUGAUAGGACAAAGCAGGUUGUGAUGGCCUUAACAUCUUGUUGGCAAAUAUCUCAGAUGUGACCUUUGCAAUCAGACAGCAAAAGAGUUCCAGCAACACUGGUGCUAAGUCAUGCUCACAUCAGAUACAGAUGGAAUUAUUUAGGUAAUUAUUUUCUUAGCAGCUGUAAACUUUGAUGAAAUUUGAUAUGCUGCAGAUACAGGAGUAUGGUAUUUCAGCACUGACCUGUUUCUCAUACAAUAAAAAAACAAAGGCAAAACAAGGAAGUAGGCAUUAUUAUUAUUACGUGUUUUAUUUAUUUGUCUUAAACAUAUGAAUGAAUGGAUGAAUCAUGAUCUAGUAAAAGUCUUGUGUUUCUUUUUAAAUUUGAAUUCACAGGUAAUAAAAGGCGUCAUGACAAAGAAACAAAGGGGUAGAUUACAAAUUGUUACACUCUUUGCUUGCAUUGCAUUGUCUUUUGUUCUCAUGUCUUUGGCAAGAGGGGGUAGCCUUGGUAACUGUAAAAAAAAUAUUGCACAUAAUGUUGUUACAGAAAAUAGGUUAAAACAUUUUGGUUCAUCUGGCUUUAAAUAGUAAUAAUAAUGAA